RNAcentral lists this ribosomal RNA (1281 nucleotides) under Pissodes strobi. Its description in RNAcentral is "16S ribosomal RNA". The stretch from base 1031 to 1189 matches the Rfam family "Archaeal large subunit ribosomal RNA", at positions 2542 to 2701 of the family's 2987-position model. Lineage: Eukaryota; Metazoa; Arthropoda; Insecta; Coleoptera; Curculionidae. The record is from RNAcentral.
GUAUAAGUUAGUUUUUGUAUAAUAAAAGUAUUUAAAAUUUUUAUUAAGAUUAUUGAAUCAAUAAAAUUUAUUAUAGAGUAAUAGUAUUGUGAUAGAAAAUUUAUUAUUAUAUUAAAGAAGAAUUAAAUUUUUGUACCUUGUGUAUCAGGGUUUAUUAAUUAUAGGUUAAUAAUAUUAAUUAUCUCGAAUUUAAAAGAGUUAUAAAUUUAUAUAUAAGUUAUUGUAAAAUAAAUAUAGUAAAUAUUUUUAUAGCAGCGAAACACUAUUCGGAUUUAAAUAUAUCUAGUUUUUUAAGAAAGAAAUUCAAUUUCAUUUUUAUUUAUUAUUAAAUUUAAUUGUUAAUUUAAUGAUAAUAAGAUUAUAUUUUUUAAGGGUUGAGCUUUAGAAAAUAUUCAUAAAAUUUUUAAAAAUUAUUUUUAAUAAGUAGGAUUGUAAGUUUUUACCUUUUUUAGUGUUUUAUAACUAUUUGAAUUUAAUAAUUAAGAUUUUUAUAUGAAUUUAUGUAUUAUAUUAAAAUAUAAAUUUAAAUUAGCUAGGUUUAGAAAUAAUGAUAAAAUUAGUAUAAAAUUGUGUGAGAGUCUAUUAUUUGUGAAAGGUUUAUUAAAGUAACUCGGCAAAUAUAUUUUUCACCUGUUUAUUAAAAACAUGGCCUUUUGAUUAUAAUUUAAGGUCUAACCUGCCCAAUGAAAUGUAUUUAAUGGCCGCAGUAUUUUGACUGUGCAAAGGUAGCAUAAUAAUUAGUUUUUUAAUUAAAAGCUUGUAUGAAAGGUUGAAUGAGAAAAUAACUGUCUCUAUAAAAUUUAAUUAGAAUUUUAUUUUUAAGUAAAAAAGCUUAAAUAAUUAUAGAAGACGAGAAGACCCUAUAGAGUUUAAUAUUUUUAUAAAUUAAAUUUUAGUAUUAUAAUUUUAAUAUUAAAAAAAGUAUUUAAUUGGGGUGAUUGAAAAAUUUAAUAAACUUUUUUUUUAUAAAAUCAUUAAUUUAUGAAAGUAUGAUCCUUAAAUAAAGAUUAUAAGAUAAAAUUACCUUAGGGAUAACAGCGUAAUUUUUUUUUAGAGUUCGAAUCGAAAAAAAAGAUUGCGACCUCGAUGUUGGAUUAAAAUAAAAUUUUGGUGUAGCGGCUAAAAUAUUAGGUCUGUUCGACCUUUUAUAUUUUACAUGAUCUGAGUUUAAACCGGCGUGAGCCAGGUUGGUUUCUAUCUCUAUAAAAAAAAAUAUUUUAGUACGAAAGGACCUUAUAUUUAAUUUAAAAAAUUUUUUAAUAGAAUAAUAUUAAUUAAUAG